UUGCUCAGGGAGUUCUGACGGAAGCUGGAAAGCUCGGGUCUGCUGAGGGAAGUGACUGGCUGUUUCCGUUGGCGGCAUCUCCCCGCAGAUCUUCCUUGUCCCGGUCGUUAUCAGCACCAGGUCCUGGCAGUCACUACUGGCUAAUUAGAAGUGGCUCACCAGCGAUAACCCAUUUGCCAUCCCUCACCAUAUCCCUUUUCCUUUGGACCACAUUCAUUAUAUUUGAAGGAGCUAUAUAUUGAAGACAAUGUCUGGAAGCUUCUACUUUGUAAUUGUGGGCCACCAUGAUAAUCUGGUUUUUAAAAUGGAAUUUUUGCCAGCUGGAAAAGCAGAAUCCAAAGACGAUCAUCGUCAUCUGAACCAGUUCAUAGCUCAUGCUGCUCUUGACCUCGUAGAUGAGAAUAUGUGGCUGUCCAACAACAUGUACUUGAAAACUAGACAAGUUCAAUGAGUGGUUUGUUUUGGCAUUU
Molecule: long non-coding RNA, 470 nt
Organism: Enhydra lutris kenyoni (northern sea otter)
Lineage: Eukaryota; Metazoa; Chordata; Mammalia; Carnivora; Mustelidae
Exons: 4
Source: RefSeq, a predicted model, not a curated record